This 835-nucleotide ribosomal RNA is filed under the name uncultured bacterium. Its description in RNAcentral is "bacterial SSU rRNA". It matches the Rfam family "Bacterial small subunit ribosomal RNA", at positions 28 to 896 of the family's 1533-position model. The record is from RNAcentral.
AAUCAACGCUGGCGGCGCGCCUAACACAUGCAAGUCGAACGGGAAAGGGGAGCAAUCCCUGAGUAUAGUGGCGUACGGGUGAGUAACACGUGGGUAAUCUACCUUUUAGUGUGGAAUAACCCUGGGAAACCGGGGCUAAUACCGCAUAAUCCCGAGAGGGGAAAGUCGCAAGACGCUGAAAGAGGAGCCCGCGGCCGAUUAGCCAGUUGGCGGGGUAAAAGCCCACCAAAGCAUAGAUCGGUAGCCGGCCUGAGAGGGCACACGGCCACACUGGCACUGAAACACGGGCCAGACUCCUACGGGAGGCAGCAGUGGGGAAUCUUGCACAAUGGGGGAAACCCUGAUGCAGCGACGCCGCGUGAGCGAUGAAGCCCUUCGGGGCGUAAAGCUCUUUCGGCAGGGAAGAUUAUGACGGUACCUGCAGAAGCAGCUGCGGCUAACUACGUGCCAGCAGCCGCGGUAAUACGUAGGCAGCGAGCGUUGUUCGGAGUUACUGGGCGUAAAGGGUGUGUAGGCGGUUAUUUAAGUUUGGUGUGAAAUCUCCCGGCUUAGCCGGGAGGGUGCGCCGAAUACUGAGUGACUAGAGUGCGGGAGAGGAGAGUGGAAUUCCUGGUGUAGCGGUGAAAUGCGUAGAUAUCAGGAGGAACACCGGCGGUGUAGACGGCUCUCUGGACCGCGACUGGCGCUGAGACACGAAAGCGUGGGUAGCAAACAGGAUUAGAUACCCUGGUAGUCCACGCCCUAAACGAUGCAUAUUUGGUGUGGGCAGUUCAUUCUGUCCGUGCCGGAGCUAACGCGUUAAAUAUGCCGCCUGGGGAGUACAGUCGCAAGGCUG